Long non-coding RNA from Heterocephalus glaber (naked mole-rat), 580 nucleotides. The record is from Ensembl. Lineage: Eukaryota; Metazoa; Chordata; Mammalia; Rodentia; Bathyergidae.
CUAGUAACAGCCGUCUCCCAAGCUCACUUGGCCUGAGACGGUCAACAGCGAACAUGCUGAGCUGCUUCUCCACUUCGAGAGGCCGUAGCCUCAGGACCCCAGGUAGAGAAAGUAUCUGUGAAAGACUAAGAAGAGGCUGGCUCCAUCCAGACACCGCAUGACUGUCCCAGAAACCCCAGGGACGGUCUCCCUGGGAGUGACCACCAGUGACCUACCAAAAUCAAGGAAACUAUGAUAUUUUAAUAUGUGCAUGGAAUAAAAUUUGAUUCCUAUUUUCAUGUAUGUCUGCAAAAUAUCAUCAGAAUGAGGAAAUAUCAGGCUUAUUUUUGAGGCAUUGGGGUACUGAUUUGAUUUGACUGGAACUUGGAAUCACUUGGAAAUUGUGGGUGAGAAGAAGAAAGACCAAUGAAGAAGGAACCAUCCAGGCCAGGAUAGAGGUCAAAGAGGAGAAAAGUGACAGAAAGAAAGUCACCAAUUUUCCCUUGACUUUGGACAGCUCUGCUUCCCUCUGAUGAAGCCCAGUUGUGCAAUUUUCUUUCCCUCAAUUAAAGGGAAAAAAUACAGAGUACUGAAAGGCCAA